GCCAAAGAGAACGGCCGAAGUCCCUCCAUAGCAGGACUCAUAAAUGAAGAUAUCCUUAGAAGGAUAACAAAGGGCUAUAAUCAAAGCCUAAAUCAGUUUAUCUGAAACACAUAUACGAAAUCACAGCGCAGAAUGCAGGACUAAAAGCCAAAAACUGACAUGAUAGUUGUCAUUACAAAGGUACAAGACUUGAUCUCCCAAAACAUCAGCUAAGAGCUGAGCUCACAACUUAAGCUUAAUUCAGAGUUUCUGAAUGAAAAUAUAUAGUUUACAUCACAAAUACGAAGCGUAGAGAUAAAAUGUAAAGAAAUAUGAAAAACAAGAAAGAAACUAAUAUUGCAUUAAUGACUAUUACAUUUUAUUUCUCUGGUGAGGACGGAGGAUAAACAGUCCUUAAAGGACUUAUAUCAGUAAGUACAUCCUCGCCUGCAUUAUCUCUAUUUACUGCCACCCCCGAAGGAAGCUCGGUGUCCCUGGGGCCUGAGCUCUCAACAUUGCUAGUGGGGGCAACCUCUGACCUAGGGUGGAGGCCGUCUUUCUCAGAAUCAAGAUCAUCUUCCUCC
This 563-nucleotide long non-coding RNA is filed under the name Manihot esculenta (cassava). RNAcentral describes it as "long non-coding RNA (MESC_LNC010868)". Lineage: Eukaryota; Viridiplantae; Streptophyta; Magnoliopsida; Malpighiales; Euphorbiaceae. The record is from RNAcentral.